RNAcentral lists this ribosomal RNA (697 nucleotides) under uncultured Bacillus sp. Its description in RNAcentral is "bacterial SSU rRNA". It matches the Rfam family "Bacterial small subunit ribosomal RNA", at positions 56 to 734 of the family's 1533-position model. The record is from RNAcentral. Lineage: Bacteria; Bacillati; Bacillota; Bacilli; Caryophanales; Bacillaceae.
UGCAGUCGAGCGAUGGAUUAAGAGCUUGCUCUUAUGAAGUUAGCGGCGGACGGGUGAGUAACACGUGGGUAACCUGCCCAUAAGACUGGGAUAACUCCGGGAAACCGGGGCUAAUACCGGAUAAUAUUUUGAACUGCAUGGUUCGAAAUUGAAAGGCGGCUUCGGCUGUCACUUAUGGAUGGACCCGCGUCGCAUUAGCUAGUUGGUGAGGUAACGGCUCACCAAGGCAACGAUGCGUAGCCGACCUGAGAGGGUGAUCGGCCACACUGGGACUGAGACACGGCCCAGACUCCUACGGGAGGCAGCAGUAGGGAAUCUUCCGCAAUGGACGAAAGUCUGACGGAGCAACGCCGCGUGAGUGAUGAAGGCUUUCGGGUCGUAAAACUCUGUUGUUAGGGAAGAACAAGUGCUAGUUGAAUAAGCUGGCACCUUGACGGUACCUAACCAGAAAGCCACGGCUAACUACGUGCCAGCAGCCGCGGUAAUACGUAGGUGGCAAGCGUUAUCCGGAAUUAUUGGGCGUAAAGCGCGCGCAGGUGGUUUCUUAAGUCUGAUGUGAAAGCCCACGGCUCAACCGUGGAGGGUCAUUGGAAACUGGGAGACUUGAGUGCAGAAGAGGAAAGUGGAAUUCCAUGUGUAGCGGUGAAAUGCGUAGAGAUAUGGAGGAACACCAGUGGCGAAGGCGACUUUUCUGGUC